Molecule: ribosomal RNA, 253 nt
Filed under: uncultured bacterium
Lineage: Bacteria
Description: partial 16S ribosomal RNA
Rfam family: Bacterial small subunit ribosomal RNA
Source: RNAcentral
UACGUAGGGGGCGAGCGUUGUCCGGAAUCAUUGGGCGUAAAGCGCGUGUAGGCGGCUCGGUAAGUCCGGUGUGAAACCUUGGGGCUCAACCCCAAGCCUGCACUGGAUACUGUCGAGCUUGAGUCCGGGAGGGGAGAGCGGAAUUCCCAGUGUAGCGGUGAAAUGCGUAGAUACUGGGAGGAACACCGGUGGCGAAGGCGGCUACCUGGACCGGUUCUGACGCUGAUGCGCGAAAGCGUGGGUAGCAAACAGG